ACGCUCGACACCUACAGGAGGCAGCAGUGGGGAAUAUUGCACAAUGGGGGAAACCAUGAUGCAGCGACGCCGUGUGAAGGAAGAAGUAUUUCGGUAUGUAAACUUCUAUCAGCAGGGAAGAAAAUGACGGUAUCUGAGUAAGAAGCACCGGCUAAAUACGUGCAGCAGCCGCGGUAAUCUGAGCGGGCUGGCAAGGC
This 197-nucleotide ribosomal RNA is filed under the name uncultured bacterium. RNAcentral describes it as "partial 16S ribosomal RNA". It matches the Rfam family "Bacterial small subunit ribosomal RNA", at positions 328 to 539 of the family's 1533-position model. The record is from RNAcentral.